RNAcentral lists this ribosomal RNA (433 nucleotides) under uncultured bacterium. Its description in RNAcentral is "partial 16S ribosomal RNA". It matches the Rfam family "Bacterial small subunit ribosomal RNA", at positions 29 to 507 of the family's 1533-position model. The record is from RNAcentral.
AACGAACGCUGGCGGCAUGCCUAACACAUGCAAGUCGAACGAGACCUUCGGGUCUAGUGGCGCACGGGUGCGUAACGCGUGGGAACCUGCCCUUAUGUUCGGAAUAACUCCCCGAAAGGGGUGCUAAUACCGGAUAAUGUCUUCGGACCAAAGAUUUAUCGCCUUUGGAUGGGCCCGCGUUGGAUUAGCUAGUUGGUAGGGUAAAAGCCUACCAAGGCGACGAUCCAUAGCUGGUCUGAGAGGAUGAUCAGCCACACUGGGACUGAGACACGGCCCAGACUACUACGGGAGGCAGCAGUGGGGAAUAUUGGAAAAUGGGCGAAAGCCUGAACCAGCAAUGCCGCGUGAGUGAUGAAGGCCUUAGGGUUGUAAAGCUCUUUUAACCGGGAUGAUAAUGACAGUACCGGGAGAAUAAGCUCCGGCUAACUCCGUG